This 645-nucleotide ribosomal RNA is filed under the name Mycoplasma wenyonii. RNAcentral describes it as "bacterial SSU rRNA". It matches the Rfam family "Bacterial small subunit ribosomal RNA", at positions 8 to 655 of the family's 1533-position model. Lineage: Bacteria; Bacillati; Mycoplasmatota; Mollicutes; Mycoplasmatales; Mycoplasmataceae. The record is from RNAcentral.
AGAGUUUGAUUCUGGCUCAGGAUUAAUGCUGGUGGUAUGCAUAACACAUGCAAGUCGAACGAGUAGAACUUGUUCUGCUAGUGGCAAACGGGCGAGUAAUACAUAUUUAACUUACUUUUACGAGGAGGAUAGCAGUUCGAAAGGACUAUUAAUACUCCAUAGGUUUAUAAACUAAAUCAAAGAGGCUCCCUCGGGGGCCUCGCGUGAAAAUAGGAAUAUGUCCUAUUAGGUAGUUGGCGGGGUAAAGGCCCACCAAGCCAGUGAUGGGUAGCUGGACUGAGAGGUUGAACAGCCGCAAUGGGAUUGAGAUAUGGCCCAUAUUCCUACGGGAAGCAGCAGUGAGGAAUUUUUCACAAUGGACGAAAGUCUGAUGGAGCAAUACCACGUGAACGAUGAAGGUCUUCUGAUUGUAAAGUUCUUUUAUUUAGGAAAAAAAGCGCGCUAGGAAAUGAGCGCGCCUUGAUGGUACUAAUUGAAUAAGUGACAGCUAACUAUGUGCCAGCAGCUGCGGUAAAACAUAGGUCACGAGCAUUAUCCGGAUUUAUUGGGCGUAAAGGAAGCGUAGGUGGGGAGGUUGAUCCAUUGUUAAAGGCAUUUGCUUAACAAAUGUGUGCGAUGGAGAUCGCCUCCCUAGAGUUAAUCAGG